This 588-nucleotide ribosomal RNA is filed under the name uncultured bacterium. RNAcentral describes it as "partial 16S ribosomal RNA". It matches the Rfam family "Bacterial small subunit ribosomal RNA", at positions 355 to 1375 of the family's 1533-position model. The record is from RNAcentral.
UGGGGAAUUUUGGACAAUGGGCGAAAGCCUGAUCCAGCAAUGCCGCGUGUGUGAAGAAGGCCUUCGGGUUGUAAAGCACUUUUGUCCGGAAAGAAAUCCUUGGCUCUAAUACAGUCGGGGGAUGACGGUACCGGAAGAAUAAGCACCGGCUAACUACGUGCCAGCAGCCGCGGUAAUACGUAGGGUGCAAGCGUUAAUCGGAAUUACUGGGCGUAAAGCGUGCGCAGGCGGUUUGCUAAGACCGAUGUGAAAUCCCCGGGCUCAACCUGGGAACUGCAUUGGUGACUGGCAGGCUAGAGUAUGGCAGAGGGGGGUAGAAUUCCACGUGUAGCAGUGAAAUGCGUAGAGAUGUGGAGGAAUACCGAUGGCGAAGGCAGCCCCCUGGGCCAAUACUGACGCUCAUGCACGAAAGCGAUGGGGAGCAAACGAGGAUUAGAUACCCUGGUAGUCCAGCGCCCUAAACGAUGUCAACUAGUUGUUGGGGAUUCAUUUCCUUAGUAACGUAGCUAACGCGUGAAGUUGACCGCCUGGGGAGUACGGUCGCAAGAUUAAAACUCAAAUGAAUUGACGGGGUCAUAGCUGUUUCCU